Molecule: RNA transcript, 1005 nt
Organism: Beta vulgaris subsp. vulgaris (sugar beet)
Lineage: Eukaryota; Viridiplantae; Streptophyta; Magnoliopsida; Caryophyllales; Amaranthaceae
Exons: 4
Source: RefSeq, a predicted model, not a curated record
AUAGGAAGAAAAGAAAAUACGAAACCCAUUUCUCCACUAGAAGCUGCUGUUGAUAGAGAAGAAGAAGAGGAGAAAGAAAAUGGCGAAAACGAAGAAGCAGUUGCUAUCAUCAGCGCCAUGGAGAGACGAAGAAAACCCAGCUGAGAAAUUCAAAGAUGCGAAAAUGAAAGUCACAAAUCAACCAGGAACUACACCUACCAUGCAUGUUCCUGGCAAAAAACGCUCUUCUUCUAACAACAACAAUAAUGAAGAUGAUGAUUCUCUCUCUGAAAUUGACCAACAACUUGUUUACAGCUUUAAGCGCAACUUCGAGUUUCUACACCGAGUAUUUAGCAUUGACACCAUGGUCAAACCCCUUCCUCCAGUAAUGGCGUAUAACGUUUCUCGCAACUUGAGCUUCUUCACUCGUAUUUUCACUCAAUUUUUUGAUCCUGAUGGCAUCUCGAAUGCUCAGAAAUCACUUGGGCUUGGACAAGAAGAGAAGGCUCGACGUGUUCGUUAGCCAGAAUUUAGAUGCAUGUGAAUAUCAUGUUUUUUUUGCUUAGUUGCUUUGCAAAUUGAAGGGAUUACUAUUCUUGACGACAUGAUUCGUAACUGGAAGCACCUCAUCACAACAUUCUACCACCAUUAAAAUUUAGGAGGCAUAAUAAACUAUGUCUUCUGAAGACUACUUGAUCAACAACCAUCUUUUCUUAUUUUAUUGUUGUUUUGUCAUUUCAAAAUGUAAAAUCCUUGUUAAACAGGCCUUCCCUUAAUAUUAUCACUGUCAUUCCAUAUCCAGAACACAAUAAAUGCACACACUCCUAUGCAAAAACAGUGCAAUUCAUCGCAAAUAAGUACAUGCACCCAAGUGUAUGUAAAGCACUAAAGCAUGGUGCACCCUCUUUUAAAUUAUGUCGUUUUAUCAUGUUUAGUGUAUAAAUUUUAAAAUUGUUGUUAUUUGUUUUCUUAAAUUUUGCAACUAAAGAUUCUUAAAUUUAAAAGGCAUAUGUUCUUUUACCUUAA